RNAcentral lists this ribosomal RNA (149 nucleotides) under Escherichia coli. RNAcentral's name for it is "partial 16S ribosomal RNA". It matches the Rfam family "Bacterial small subunit ribosomal RNA", at positions 1 to 141 of the family's 1533-position model. RNAcentral also lists the same sequence under 6 other names. Lineage: Bacteria; Pseudomonadati; Pseudomonadota; Gammaproteobacteria; Enterobacterales; Enterobacteriaceae. The record is from RNAcentral.
UUAAAUUGAAGAGUUUGAUCAUGGCUCAGAUUGAACGCUGGCGGCAGGCCUAACACAUGCAAGUCGAACGGUAACAGGAAGCAGCUUGCUGCUUUGCUGACGAGUGGCGGACGGGUGAGUAAUGUCUGGGAAACUGCCUGAUGGAGGGG